UUAAAAAAAGAAACGAAGGAGUGGUGAUUUCCGGUGGGUAGAGUGGGUUGAGAGUGGUAUUUAUGGUAGAAAACCAUUUUUCUGUACUGAAGUUGGACCCCUGGUAUCAGACACACACACAGAGAUAGAGAGAGAACCAAGAUGGAGCUCUCAAGGGUAUGUCUCGUUCUGAGCUAUUAUGCUUCUACUUUUGUGGAUGACAUGGCUGGCUUUCAGAAUAUGAAUUCGAGUUCGCCAUAGUGGGUAUUUGGUAUGGUGACAUUGUUCUGAACAAUUUUAAAUGAUAUUUCAAGGGACAUUUUGAAUUUAUUGAAAGAGAGGUCUCAAGAUUGGAUUUGGAAAACCCAGUUGCAGUUUUGGAUUAUUCUAUUGGACUGUCAACCUCUGGUUUAGGAAGAGGGAGGAAGAGGAAAAAUGUUGCUGGUCACAUUGAAUUGCUAUAUUUCUUUUUUUUGAGGCUUAUUCUAUAUAUAUUUUGAUAUUAUUAUUUAGUCAUAUAAAAAUUAUUGCAUUUUUUUAUUAUUUUAGUAGGAUCUUACGAUCCUUGAUCCGAUCCUACGAUUCGAUCUGAUAGGCCCCCAAAAUGAUCUUGUGUAGGAUCCCGAUCUUAACAAUCUUGGUUGCAAGGCAGCUGUGAAGGACUUGUCGGAGUCACAAGGGAUGUUGGGUGAUCUAGGUUGAGUCACGAACUAGCCAGGGGUCUUGGGUGACAAGCAGCGAAGGCUAGAGAAGGCCUGACAGGUGUCACGACCCCUACUGAGGCAGAAAAAACAGCCAAAACUCAGGGAAAUGCUGUCGCAGAAGAUGGGUUGCCUUCGAAAUUGAUUGGGUGGUGGUCGGUACUCUUCAACUGGUGUUGGGUGACAGUGGGAUGAUGAAGUGGAGUGAUGGGUGUUGGGAUUAGAAUCUUACAGCUCUGAUACCAUGUUUGUUUGAGAGAAAAACAGACUUGGGAAUGAUGAGGCUAUCACUCAUUUUUAUAUUUUGAUAAUAUGAAACUUACAAUGGAAGCCUUAAGGCGCAAAAAGGAAAAUACGAAAUAAGGAAAUUACACCUAAUGACAGCUAAAUAGAAUAAAAAAAUGCAUAAUAACCAAGAUAUUAUUCUAACAUGAUUAAGUUAGACAUGAUUGAUUUUUUUGGUGUUGAAGAUUUUCUUUGUGUUCAAACCAUGUUUUUUGGACUUCAGUAACAACUUGGGAACCGACACUAGUAAGAUUUGCCUUUGGCUGUUUCGAUUCCUAACUUGGUUUUGGCCUAUUUUCUUCAAUUCAAAGCAUCUAAACAUGAUAUUUUUUUAUUUUUGAUAAAUCUAAACGUGAUAUUUUUCAAUACAAAACAUACAAAAAUGUAGGAUGCUUAGUUUCAAGAUUCUACACAAAACCCUUUGAUUUGUUCAAACAAAUGAUUGAAUUCCUACAAAUUUGUUUUCUUCCAAUUUUUUUCUUUUAUUUGAAACAUCGGGGAGUUCCCGGGCCUUAUUAUCUCUUUUCCAUUAUUUAUUUAUUUAGUUAGGCCUUUGGUAGUGAAAGACUAUUUGCCGGUCGCCGCACUAUCCUGUUUAAAGAGGGGAGCACAUGGGGCAUUAAAGACAAUGUGAGGCCUUUUGAGGCUAACAGGGCACGUUUUUUUUGGUACUUAUUGGGUGAAAAUGACAUUUGUAAUAGUUUUAUCCUUGCACUUUUUUUCUAGUUGUAGUUUCUCUCUAUUAACACUGCCGCCAGAAAAAUCACCAGAGGCGAUUGGCAGUGGUGGUGGAUGGAUAGGUUAUGUGUGAACAAACAGGUGGACAUGUGGAUAGAUAGGUGACACAUGGCUGGGUAGGUGGACAAAUAGACAUAUAGAUGGGGGUAAUGUGAUCUUUCAAAUUGUUUUGUCCUCGUGGCCCUAAAAGAAUGGAGCUUGGUGCUACUGCCCCAAAAGUUUCAAAAUUGGACCUUUGGCCUUAGUACCCUUAGUUUUUUAUUUUUAUUUUUAGUUGUUUGUAGAUGACAUAGUAAACAAAAGUAUAAUUUUUGCCAAUUUUUUUUUUAUCAUGUCCAUAUCCUAAUUUUUUGAAAUCAUUGUGUUCUGUGUUUGUGUCUAUGCCGGUGUCAUUGCUUGUAUCUGUAUCUUAUGUGGAAACUAUAGAUGCUUGUACAUUUGGGGGAGAAAGGGUGUUUAUUUCUUUUCUGCUUGGAACAUAGAAAGUUAAAUCAUUUAUUACCAUUUGUUUCCUGUUAUGGAGCUAACCGAGUCUUCGCCUUUCUGUGGCAGAUAUAACCUCUUUUCAGAAGGGGAAGUUAGUUACUAAUCUGAUUCAUGUAAGAGACAUGGAAUUCAGGUGAGUAACUUGGAUAUGGUUUUUCUACUUUGGCAACAGUCUGAUUUCAACAAAAUGUACUGAUUAAUGAAGUUCUGUGGGUUCCAACUUUUAUGAAAUUCAUAAACAUACAUUUGUACAAAUAAAUAUAUGAAUUUUAAUUGACAGAAAAAAAAAAGGCUUAAGAUUUGCUUUUAAGGGGUAUGAUUUGGAGACCAUGAGGUUUUCAUUGGAAUAUAGAACCUAUACUACUUUUAGGUAUAGGAUACCCCAUUUUGUUCUACUCAGCAUACUGGCCUCUCAUUUUUCGUUGACUAUUGGAUUGUGAUAUGCCCUUUAUUUGGGCAAUCUCUAGGUUCUGAAGAGAGUAGCAUGAGUUAUAGUUGCUUUGUUUCAUAUAUUCUCAUCAUAGUUAUCAAUACCAUACUAGUCAAUCUGGCACUGAUUAUAUAAUUCUGAAUGGUGGUACUUUUGACGGAAAGUAGACCUUUUUCUUGGUGUCUGAUUCCCCAGCAGCUUGUGUUACUGUCACCAUGAAAGUAACAUUUCCAGUGAUAAAGCUUUCAAGGAAUGCAGCCACCUCCUAUUUAAGGUAACCUAACUACUAUGUUACACAAUCAAAUACCCGUGUUGGACACACGACACUUGGACAAGAGUAUGGGAUAUGGGUUAGAUACUUCUCAUAUAAUUAUAUAUAACACUAAUGCCUUUUUGACACUGUAAGUUACAUAUACCUUUUUGUCUCACAUACUUUAUUAACAAUAUAAAAAUAUGACAUUUUUUUGUCAAGCCUUAAAUUUAUGAUUUGAUAAGUUCGACCUCUAGAUACAUAUCUACACCCGACAAACAUGUUAGUAUUUUUUACUUACAGAUGCUGACUUUCAAAUGAAUGGUAACAAAAAAUCCUUACAAUAUUUUUUAUUUUAUUGUAUGGGGGAUACUUUUGUUUUCAUGAAAUUUCUUACGUAUUAUAUCCUAAGCCAAUACCAUGAGGUACUUGCUGGACAGGGAUGUUGUGUUCCUUGGGGUCAAAUUGACUUACAAAAUGGUUCUUUCAUACAUAAGCCUCAUCAAUUUCAUGCUUUAUUUAAGUCAGUUAUUUUUCUUGUGAAUAUUCUCAUGAAACGGUCCUUUGUGUUCAAUGACAAACUUUUACUGCACUUCACUUCGUGAUACUGAUAUUUUAAAGAAGAGUUUUUUUUUUAAUGAUAAUCCGGUAUCCGGCCCAGCAGAUAUUUUAUAUAGAAGAGUUGCUGGAAGUUUGAGUGCUUUGAAAUACAGCAAAGAAUUCUGUGUCUUACAUUUCAGGAAUCCAGGAGAUGGCCAUGUGAUUGAUAUCAAGAGUACUGUGCGAAAACAGAAUCAUGCACUUCUUGAACUAUUGAACAGCAUGUUCAAACACUAUUGAAUCUCUUCUACUUUAUUCGAAGUUUUCUUUUCUUUCUAGAUCCGUUUUGUUUAGCUGAAGUUGAGUGUAAGAGGGUAAGAUCCAAUACCCUGAUUGAAUUUAUAGAAAUGUACAAGGAAAAACCAAUUUGAACUGUGAUACAAUUGUAAAAAUUUCUUUAAUAGUAAAAACAUUAAUGAUUUGUGCA
Molecule: non-coding RNA, 3896 nt
Organism: Camellia sinensis
Lineage: Eukaryota; Viridiplantae; Streptophyta; Magnoliopsida; Ericales; Theaceae
Source: RefSeq, a predicted model, not a curated record